GCCCUGGUGGCGCAGUGGUUAAGCACUUGGCUGCUAACCAAAAGGUCGGUGGUUCAAACCCACCACUGGCUU
Molecule: transfer RNA, 72 nt
Filed under: Loxodonta africana (African savanna elephant)
Lineage: Eukaryota; Metazoa; Chordata; Mammalia; Proboscidea; Elephantidae
Rfam family: tRNA
About the family: Transfer RNA (tRNA) molecules are approximately 80 nucleotides in length. Their secondary structure includes four short double-helical elements and three loops (D, anti-codon, and T loops).
Source: Rfam by way of RNAcentral